This 391-nucleotide ribosomal RNA is filed under the name Argyropelecus sladeni (Sladen's hatchetfish). Its description in RNAcentral is "partial 12S ribosomal RNA". It matches the Rfam family "Bacterial small subunit ribosomal RNA", at positions 791 to 1384 of the family's 1533-position model. The record is from RNAcentral. Lineage: Eukaryota; Metazoa; Chordata; Actinopteri; Stomiiformes; Sternoptychidae.
UAUGCUUAGUUAUAAACAUUGAUAUUAAUAUACAAGUAAUAUUCGCCUGGGUACUACAAGCAAAGCUUGAAACCCAAAGGACUUGGCGGUAUCUUAGACCUCCUAGAGGAGCCUGUUCUAGAACUGAUAAUACUCGUUAAACCUCACCACCUCUUGUUAGUGUCCGCUUGUAUACCUCCGUCGUCAGCUCACCCUGUGAAGGUUUUAUAGUGAGCGUAAUGGGUGUGUUCCCAAAACGUCAGGUCGAGGUGCAGUGUAUGAGGUGGCAAGAAAUUGGCUACAUUUUCUAGAUUAGGAAAUAUGAAUAUUGUUGUGAAAUAUAACUCUUGAAGGUGGAUUUAGCAAUAAGAAGGGAGUAGCGUGCCCUUUUGAAGUUGGCUCUGAGAUGUGC